RNAcentral lists this long non-coding RNA (856 nucleotides) under Marmota monax (woodchuck). The record is from RNAcentral. Lineage: Eukaryota; Metazoa; Chordata; Mammalia; Rodentia; Sciuridae.
AUUCACAAAUCAGAAAAUACCACCAGCUAACACACAUUGGGGAACCUUCCAUGUCCCUGAGGGGGUGGCAGAUCCAUAGCUGGGGCGGAAGUUCCACUGUGCGAAUGUGUGACUCAGUGAUUGGGGGCCUGGUCCCAGGGCGAUAUGUGCCCAGGUGAGAACUCAGGGGGUCCUGCAGUGGGAGGGUCAAGGCUUGGCUCCUUAAAUUCCAGUCUCUGCUGGGGCUGAGAGAAUUGCUUGGGUGGGAUGGGGUCGGUUCCCACUAGGGAUCCUUGAGAACCCAGUGUGUCUGACCUUGGCUCUUGAUCAUCCAGGGAAGAGAUUUCUGAACUGAAACUGCCUCAAGGAGAGGAGAGUCAGGGCGCUCCCUCCCCAGCCCCCUGGAGACAGACCCUGAGAAGUGGAGGUGGGUGCCUAGGGGAGGGGACGGGGAGUCAGGUGCUUUCCUGGGGCUGGAGGCUGGUUCAGGUGGGGAGCACUCAGCCCUGGAGAGGAUUUCCAGCCCCUGGAAGUGGAGCCUGCUUUGAAGGACUGAGAAGGGUCUCAGCAAACCCUGGGUUGGCACCCACCUUUCCACCUUCACGUCCUUCCCCUUCUGAGCUGGCCUACUCUUCUGUAGGUGGGGUGCUCACCCCUGCCUCUCAGCUCAGAUUGGAGACAGCCUGAGCUGAUGGACCACAAAGCUUUGGAACCUGGAGGUCACCUCUAGGUCCUCAUCUCCAGCCUUCACAGCUGGGCACCUGCCUGGCUCCAGGGGUGGAGCCUGGUGUCCCCUCCCUCCUGUGUGACCUUGGGCAAAUCACCCAGUCUCUGUGUGUCCAAUGAGGACCUUACUGGCAUAGGCCUCAUCAAAGUG